RNAcentral lists this long non-coding RNA (496 nucleotides) under Panax ginseng (ginseng). Its description in RNAcentral is "long non-coding RNA (PGIN_LNC013405)". The record is from RNAcentral. Lineage: Eukaryota; Viridiplantae; Streptophyta; Magnoliopsida; Apiales; Araliaceae.
UUUUCAAUUCAGCCCUCAGAGUUUCUAAAACAUUCAAUUCAACCCCCAAAGUUUCUGAAAUAUUCAAUUUAGCCCCCAAAGUUUAUGAGUCUUCUAUUUAAUCCCAAAGUUUCUGAAAUUUUCAAUUCAACCCCUUUAUAUCUUCUAGAUAUAACAAUUCAGACUUUUUUUGGUGUAAGAUAAAGCAACUUGAGUAUCGAACUUUGAUUAUAUGCGAGCAACUUAAAAGGUCAUGUAUAGUGCUGAGUAUUGGAAAUUAUGCAAUGAGCUUGCACUUUCUGAAACAAGUUUUGCAAAUUUAAAGGCACAUUAGGAGUACACAAUGGCGAAGCCACAUUAGAGUGUGGGGUCAAUUGACCCCAUUGGAAAAAAACUAUUUUAUAAUAUAUGAUGGGCAAUAUGACCAAUGUUUUAUUUGUACACAAUUUGUCAAAACUACGUCUUUUUGGUAGAUUUGUUUUUUUAAAAAAAAAUAACUUCUCUUCUCCCAAAUCAG